This is a long non-coding RNA of Pyrus x bretschneideri (Chinese white pear), 1114 nucleotides long. RefSeq lists it as uncharacterized. The transcript has 2 exons. NCBI's taxonomy places the organism in Eukaryota, Viridiplantae, Streptophyta, Magnoliopsida, Rosales, Rosaceae. The record is from RefSeq and is a predicted model, not a curated record.
CAAAGGGCUUGACAUUGAAUUUUCUACAAGGUCUUUGUCCGUCCAUGUGCCAGCUAAUGAACCGUAAUAAUUGACUUAGUUGACUUACUGAUCACCAUGAAAAGAUGUAGGUUAAGUUCCAGCAACGUGCAUACGGUAAAUCUUUGCCUGCCUGCUGAAUGCUUUGUGCAGCCAUGGAUACCACACCAAACUCAGAGUUCGUGUUCUUCAUGAUUUUAUUAUGUGCAUUUCUCGAGUCCCAUGUUUCCCUUGCAGCUGACACCAUCAGCGAAAACCAAUCUCUCUCGGGCGAUCAAACUAUUGUCUCCGCAGGUGGGAAUUUUGAGCUCAGUUUCUUCAAACCAGUUUUAAUGAUUUCAGAUGGUAAUUUAGUCCUGUUUAACAAGUCCAAAGCCCCUGUUUGGUCAAUUUAACCUCCUCCUCCGCCACUGCACUUCUUUUGGAUACCGGAAACUUCUCGGUGUCCAGUAAUAGUUUAUCAGAGCCGUUAUGGAAAAGCCUUGAUAAUCCAAUGCAUACUUGGCUGCCAGGAGCUAGAAUUGGGUUUAACACUGUUACCCAACAAACCCAAAUUCUUACUUCGCGGAAGAGUUCGAAGGAUCCUGGACAGGGUCUUUUCUCGCUUGAGUUAGACCGAACGGAAGCAAUGCGUGUCUCAUACUGUGGACUCCACAGUAUUGGAUAUGCAUUGCAUCCGUGACGCAUACUUCACCCACCCUCUUUAUGAUCCAAAGAUAUUUUCUCGAUUCGUGAUGCUUACUUCGGGGCAAAUUCAACAGUUGUCAUUGUGGGACAUACCGUGCAAUUUGGUUAGGUCCCAAUGGAGAAAACAAUGCGAAGUUUAUGAUUUGUGUGGUAAGCAACGUCGCCUAUUAUUGCUUGAACGUUUUUGAGCCGAAGGCGAAGAGGGACUGGGAUUUAAAGGACUACCCUGGUGGGUGUUCGAGAAAAAACGAUCUGCAGCUGAGGCAAUCUAACUCGAACAUUUCCUAAUCCUAUACCUCCAUCUCUUCUUGGGUUCGAUAUGUGAAUCCUCAAGAGUUUACACAUUAUUGUAGAGCAUUGAUGAAGUUGAGCACAACCGUAAUACAUUAAAUUUUCUACAAAGACUUUG